Non-coding RNA from Lepisosteus oculatus (spotted gar), 1755 nucleotides. NCBI's taxonomy places the organism in Eukaryota, Metazoa, Chordata, Actinopteri, Semionotiformes, Lepisosteidae. The record is from RefSeq and is a predicted model, not a curated record.
UCUUCGCAGGAAAUAUAAGCGCUGCUGAACUUUGGAGCAAACACGCUCAACAUGAGCAGUUCAGCACACGUUACUGUCUAUGUGUACUCCUCUAAGUAUUAACCAGACAUGAAUACACCUGAGUGAUAAAUUCAUUGUGGAUGACUACGUUGUGGAUGACUGACCACAACACCUCAGUGGGUUCAGUCUAUCACUACAAGAGACUGACCACACUUUCAGGAAUCAAUCUUUGGUCUUCUGCAAAUCAGGGGCUCACUGCUGGACACUGGAAUAAUUUUCAAUAUUUUCAGCUGCCUCCCUGUUCAUUCCCUGUAAGUGAGUGGGAUUGUGAAAGUAUUGAUCUCUGACCACCCCUGUCAUUUCCUCAGCCAGCAGGAGCUGCUGAGCUGAAGAAGCCCCAGGCGCUGCCCCUGUCACUGUGUGAAGAACAGACUGCACUCUGCUGCUGGAAUCAUGACAGCUCCUCCAACCCUGGGUCUCCUGCUCUCUCUGGCUGCCUUGACUUGUACUUUAUUUCAUUAGAGCAGUGCAGUUAUAUUUUAAUUAGUAUUAGACUGUUUGGCUUGUUCACAGUGGUGCACUGCAAUUGGAAAAUUGAAAAUAACCAUCUUAGAAUCAAGCCUGACCACAGCAACGAAAACGGAGAUGUAAAACUUUGAGUUUUGUUUCUGUUUUUCCAUUUGGGAUUUUUUUUUCCCAGGGCAACACUUUUUCAAUGGUAAACUCAUGUAACUACAAAAACGUUUCAACUAUGCAAUGUGGCACCUGUCUGUUACUAUAUUCAGUAUUUCUUUACAUUUCAGGAUUUUCUGUGUUUUUUGUUUUCUGUGUCUACUACACCACUCGGAGUGACUAAUUUCGCCUUCCUUGCAGAUGUUCAGUCCAGUGUCGAGCUCAUGCAGUCUGAAUCUACAGAGGUCACACCAGGAUAGUCUCCCUCAUUAAAAUCUGCCACUGCUGGGAUACGUGUUGAUGACUCUGAUAGGUUUCCCCAAAAAUCCUGGACAGAGUGGACAGUUUGGACAAUUUGGAUUUGCUCCUCCUUCUGCUGUAUCUGCACCUCAGAUGAUAAAGGAUAAUUCACAGCCUUCGACAGACAGCGGGAUGUUCCCUCUGGAUAUGAGCAGCCUGAGAGCUGAAGACACUCAUGUUUAUUACGAAGGGAGAGACGCAGAGCAGCAGGUGAUUUCUAACAUGAGGAAAAUAUCUAGAGAGCGGGCACAGGAUGGUUUUGUUCCCCAACAACAUCUGUACUGAAAACUAGAAGUUCUUUGACAGAUUUCAAGAAUAAUGAGCAGGUAAAUGAUUUCUUUCAAUCCAUCAUUUUAGAUUUGGCAGUUCGAUUCUCAUGCAAUUUAGUCAUAUAAGUAACAUUAGAAAGAUAUUAAUGUGUUAAGAAACAGCUGUACAUUUUCUCAAUCUGUAGGGCAGGUACAGUCAGCCACACCUAUAUAAGACAGGGACAGACAACCUUGACACUUUUAUUCCUGUACAUUACUGAACCUUCCAGUAAGUUAUUUAUUAAUUUAAGGUCACUUAUUAAGGAUUCGUUUAUUAAGGAUUCUUGAAUACAACACCUAAUCAAUAAAAAGUGCUUUACAAAUUUAAAUUACAAUAUACACUGACAGUUUACAACUAUCUUCCUUUGCCUUGUGCCAUGUUUUACUAUAACUCCCAAUACAUGACACGCAUAGGAAGGUUUUUGUCAGGGAGCAUAUCAAUGUGAUUAUUAUAGUAGUUAUGGUUACCACAGUG